AACGAACGCUGGCGGCAUGCCUAACACGUGCAAGUCGAACGAGACCUUCGGGUCUAGUGGCGCACGGGUGCGUAACGCGUGGGAACCUGCCCUUAGGUUCGGAAUAACUCCCCGAAAGGGGUGCUAAUACCGGAUAAUGUCUUCGGACCAAAGAUUUAUCGCCUUUGGAUGGGCCCGCGUUGGAUUAGCUAGUUGGUAGGGUAAAAGCCUACCAAGGCGACGAUCCAUAGCUGGUCUGAGAGGAUGAUCGGCCACACUGGGACUGAGACACGGCCCAGACUCCUACGGGAGGCAGCAGUGGGGAAUAUUGGACAAUGGGCGAAAGCCUGAUCCAGCAAUGCCGCGUGAGUGAUGAAGGCCUUAGGGUUGUAAAGCUCUUUUACCCGGGAUGAUAAUGACAGUACCGGGAGAAUAAGCUCCGGCUAACUCCGUG
Molecule: ribosomal RNA, 433 nt
Filed under: uncultured bacterium
Lineage: Bacteria
Description: partial 16S ribosomal RNA
Rfam family: Bacterial small subunit ribosomal RNA
Source: RNAcentral